Molecule: long non-coding RNA, 334 nt
Organism: Erinaceus europaeus (western European hedgehog)
Lineage: Eukaryota; Metazoa; Chordata; Mammalia; Eulipotyphla; Erinaceidae
Exons: 4
Source: RefSeq, a predicted model, not a curated record
CCAUUUCACUCAGUAAUAUGCCCUCUGGAUAGUUCCAAUUAAAGAAGUUUCUGGAAAAACCUGAAGAAUGCUCAGGACAAAAAUUGUAGAUUAAGCAUUCAAAGGCCUUUCUACUAGACCACAGAGAAACAUUAUGGGCAUCCAUUUAAUAGAAGAGCCAUGUGAAAAGACAUGACCAGAAGAUUCUUCAGUGUGUGAGCAUGCACUUGUAAUAAUAGUGGUCUUAAUCCAAAAACUGCUUAUGUGUUCCUAUAGCACAUACCAGUUUGCUUGCAGGAAGAGUUUGCAAGAAUAAACAAAGUUCCAGAUGCUAGCAUGAUGCCAACCAGACUUC